Long non-coding RNA from Centropristis striata (black sea bass), 2601 nucleotides. RefSeq lists it as uncharacterized. Lineage: Eukaryota; Metazoa; Chordata; Actinopteri; Perciformes; Serranidae. The record is from RefSeq and is a predicted model, not a curated record. The transcript is spliced from 2 exons.
GAUAACGCCUUAGAAUAAAGGUAAUACAGUUUGGGAUAAAGGAUGCAUGUAAAACGGAGUUGCUCAGAGUUGCUGCCUAAAGGAUAUAUAUUUUUAUUUUAAGCGUAUAUUUAAACAGCAUUAGUUUACUUUAUAUCCGCAGGCCAUCAAAGUUAACUUGCAGGUAAAACUCCAUGCAGAUGAACCUAAAGCCUGAUCAGUGUGUUAAAGAGAGAAGCCUUGCAGCAGCAUGCAUCGUCCCAGGAUGUAUUACAGUAUAUGGGUGCCCCCUAGCGUAUGAUGUUUUUUUGCUUCAAAUAAGAUUCAAUUUAGAGGAGCCAUCCGACACGGAAACUGCUUCAGUCUCUUCUCCCGCAUCGACCAAAACUAACGAGCACCAUUUUACAAACUGAUGACUUGUUUGUUUAAAUUCUGUUUUACAUGACUUGGACGGCACAGCUUUGAGAGUUGCCAAAGUUGGAUUUACUUUUUUUUUUUGCCACUUCAGGCAAUCACCAGCGGUGGUAUUAGACCAAUUGUGUCUUUAUUCUAAAAACAAAUGAGCCGUAUAUAUUCUGUCUGCAUGAUUACUUUGUCGCUUUUAUUUACAGAAGCCGUGAAAAUGGAGAGUCUGUAAAUAAAAAAACACCCCCGAAAAGGUAUCCAUUUACCGAGGAUCCAGCGUCUAAUGGAACUACUGCUGAAGUACCCUUCGGCAAAGCAGCUUAAACCCCAUCUGUCCCAGUGGAGCCGCACAGCGACCGGCAGUACAAGACUGCAGUUGUAUACCGGGCCACUUGUGAGAUGUGUCUCUUUGAGUGUGACCUACCCUCCCUUUUCUUUUUAAAAAGAGGGAGAGUGGGCAGUCCACUCGCCUCACACUUUUUUUUUCAUGUACUCAGACAGUGAAAAAGUUUUGGAGAAGACACAGGAGAGAAAGCUGUGGCAGCACUCAGUUCUGAGCCAGACACGGUUCACAUGUGGCCCCAAAGGCAGCAGACGGUGUAUUGAAUUACUGUAACUCAAGGUGUAAUGUGGUAGCAGUGUGGGAUAUGGAAGCAUUACACAAACGGAUGUAGAGGGGGCUUACUUCAGCUUUCUACUGCAGCUAUAAAGUGUUCAAAUCUUUGCUUAAUUUUCUUAAAUUCCAUCUAUAACCAUUUAUUAGUUCAAUCGGCAGCCAUACUUUCUAUAAAGAUCAUCAAUAUGUCUUUAUAAUUAGAUUUAACCAGUUGCAUCAGACUCCUAUUCUUAUGUAGACACCCUGUAUCUCUCGGAUUUGUGUUUUCAUGUGUUAAUUUGCAUUAAAGAAUGACAUGGUUUGUAUUACAAGGAGACCCCGCUGGAUCAACUCAUCAAAUGCAUGUUGGUACACCAUAUGUGCUGUGCAAAAUUGCAAUUUAUCUAUGACUAAUAAAGUUUUAAGACAUCAUAUGAGCUGUGUUUAAACUGGUUCUUAUCUAAUGUUUGCUCUUAGGUUUUUUUUUCAGUUUUCCUGUGAUAUUUUACUGUAAAUGUGUAAAUAAAGCUUUCUUUUUUUCACUGUAAUAUUGUUUCAACUAUAUGAGACAUGCUGUUAAAAAGUCUGGUUUGUAUCAAUGAGAAUGCAGCUUCCUAUUUUCUGAACCAUUCUGUACAGUCAAACCAGACUUUGACUUCACUGCUUCUGCAGGAAAUUCAGAUUAACAAAAUGCAGUGGAGAUUUAGCAGACUCCCAUGGGUACUGCAAGUUAUUGAGAGAAUAAUAAGAAUAUGACACACUACUGUAUGAUGAUAGCAUCUUUCUGCAGCACAAAUGGGCAAAAUCUGUGAAGAGUACAGCACUCAUGUUUCCUGAAAUUGAAACAUAGCUGUAGUUAACAUUAGAAUUAACAACAGUAGCAUAUUAUAUCAGGCACUUUUACCAGUUCCAAGCCCAAAGACUGCAGGCUGAGAAAUCAAUCAGGCAGCAAUGUUUCAACAUAAGAAUGCAUUUCUCUGUGAUAGCAGAUAUAAAUUGCAUCACUAUAACAAAACCAGCAGCCCGUGAAUAUUGACAAUGUUAACUACAUCUCUGUUUCCACAGGUAACUGAUUCAACGUUUGUGAAUGAAACAUAAUGUAUAAUAGCAAAUAUUGCCAUUUAAGGUUUUUCAAUCACACAGAUCCCCAUGUGAUCAAUGGUCCUUGUGAAGUGAUGGAGGGAAAAGAAAGCAAAUGGGAUUUGGUAAGACAUUGACAACAGUGAUGACUCGGAAUGAAAAGGAGAAGAUUUUCUCGGUGCGAAGAUGACCUCAAGGGGAAAAGGCAUUUAAAAAAAAAAAAAGAAUCACUUAUUCACAGGAUCUCGGUUACUUUAUCAUCAUAUGAGGACACGCAGAAGCUGCUUUUAGUGCUCACAGCGUGAGAGCCAAUACUCCCAGGAUGAUGUCAUCAGACUUAAAUCUUAGACUUGCUCCACUGACAAUAAAUUGAGAGGGGAUUUGUGGACAUGUGAUAGUGCCCAGAGGUUACACAAAGACAUGACUUAAUGCUCUCACAAAAACAUCCAGAGGAGUACACACUAUUUGUUCCACUUUAGUCAUGCUAAUUAACUUCCAUGAUCAUUAUAAACUUAUUAAAUUUUUUGGUUUGUGUGUCAUAU